Molecule: ribosomal RNA, 253 nt
Filed under: uncultured bacterium
Lineage: Bacteria
Description: partial 16S ribosomal RNA
Rfam family: Bacterial small subunit ribosomal RNA
Source: RNAcentral
UACGUAGGUGGCAAGCGUUGUCCGGAUUUAUUGGGUUUAAAGGGUGCGUAGGCGGUCUUCUAAGUCAGUUGUGAAAUACUUCAGCUUAACUGGAGAGGUGCAAUUGAUACUGGAAGACUUGAGUACUGAUGAGGUAGGCGGAAUGGACGGUGUAGCGGUGAAAUGCUUAGAUAUCGUCCAGAACACCGAUAGCGAAGGCAGCUUACUAAGGAGUAACUGACGCUGAGGCGCGAAAGUGUGGGGAUCAAACAGG